This 253-nucleotide ribosomal RNA is filed under the name uncultured bacterium. RNAcentral describes it as "partial 16S ribosomal RNA". It matches the Rfam family "Bacterial small subunit ribosomal RNA", at positions 524 to 776 of the family's 1533-position model. The record is from RNAcentral.
UACGUAGGGUGCGAGCGUUGUCCGGAAUUACUGGGCGUAAAGAGCUCGUAGGUGGUUUGUCGCGUUGUUCGUGAAAACUCACAGCUUAACUGUGGGCGUGCGGGCGAUACGGGCAGACUGGAGUACUGCAGGGGAGACUGGAAUUCCUGGUGUAGCGGUGGAAUGCGCAGAUAUCAGGAGGAACACCGGUGGCGAAGGCGGGUCUCUGGGCAGUAACUGACGCUGAGGCACGAAAGCCAGGGGAGCAAACGGG